CACCCUUNUNGGGGUUCGAUUAAGCCAUGCGAGUCGAGAGGGUUCNNACCCUCGGCGCACUGCUCAGUAACACGUGGAUAACCUACCCUGAGGAGGGGGAUAACCCCGGGAAACUGGGGAUAAUACCUCAUAGGUUUCAGAUGCUGGAAUGCUCUGAAACCGAAAUGCUCCGGCGCCUCAGGAUGGAUCUGCGGCCGAUUAGGUUGUUGUUGGGGUAACGGCCCAACAAGCCCGUCAUCGGUACGGGUUGUGAGAGCAAGAGCCCGGAGAUGGAUUCUGAGACACCAAUCCAGGCCCUACGGGGCGCAGCAGGCGCGAAACCUUUACAAUGCGAGCAAUCGUGAUAAGGGAACCCCGAGUGCCUGAAACCAGGCUGUUCAGGUGUUUAAAAAGCACCUGGAGAAAGGGCCGGGCAAGACCGGUGCCAGCCGCCGCGGUAAUACCGGCGGCUCGAGUGGUGGCCGCUAUUAUUGGGCUUAAAGCGUUCGUAGCUGGGUUGUUAAGUCUCUUGGGAAAUCUCACGGCUCAACCGUGAGGCGACUAA
RNAcentral lists this ribosomal RNA (544 nucleotides) under uncultured archaeon. RNAcentral describes it as "bacterial SSU rRNA". It matches the Rfam family "Archaeal small subunit ribosomal RNA", at positions 25 to 577 of the family's 1478-position model. The record is from RNAcentral.